UGUCACUUCAGUCUCCCCAUCACUGUCUUCCCUGUCCUCCUGAGUGUGGACUGAGCCCCAGGUGGACACGAGCCCUGGCUGGGCGUGCGGGGAGGAAUGCGGUCACUCUGAGCCGGUCAUCAGGGCUGAGGUUGACCUCCAUACCUGCCUUCUGCCUGGAAACCACUGCAGUCAGGAAGGUGAAGGUCUGUGACGAGGCAGCCCCUGGUGGGAAAGGACGACGGCCUGAACAGCCUCAGGCCGCCCACCCCAGGCUCCCCUGUCCCCUGACGGCCACCUCCCAGUCCCUGGGCCUCUGAGGGCUCACCUGAGACCUACUCGCCCACGGGGAGCACCCCCUCUCUUGCAACGUCUAUGGCUGCUUGAGACCACGAGCCACCUCUUCCGCGGGACUGGCCUUGGCCUUGAGCUCUGAUG
This is a long non-coding RNA of Bos taurus (domestic cattle), 417 nucleotides long. Lineage: Eukaryota; Metazoa; Chordata; Mammalia; Artiodactyla; Bovidae. The record is from Ensembl.